This 252-nucleotide long non-coding RNA is filed under the name Aquila chrysaetos chrysaetos. RNAcentral's name for it is "lncRNA (ENSACCG00020011841.1)". The record is from RNAcentral. Lineage: Eukaryota; Metazoa; Chordata; Aves; Accipitriformes; Accipitridae.
GCUCCUGUGCCUAGUUCAAGGAAGAGCUAUUCUGACUGCAUUAGAGGGAAGCUGCAUCACACCGUCAAUAUCUCCUCCACUUAUCUGCUGCAGUGGGGAUAGGAGAGAAAAAGUAACAGCAUAUGGGCCCAGAGAAUGUCUGCAGGAAGGGGAAUCUCCUCCCACACUUCCCAUAUAAACUUCAGUGAACUUAGCUUUGCAAACCCUGCAAAGCUAUGUGUUAGCAUCCUCUUUAACAAGAAAGGCAACUGA